GCGAGGCCCCGCCCGCCCAGCCGCGGGGCGCGGAGUCUCGCGAGACAGGCCCAAGGCCCGCUGGGUGCAAGCGCCAUUUUGUUUCGCUCUGCGGGGGACAGAGUCGUUACCGGAGCCGCAUUACUCCGAAAGAGAAUUCCUGGAAAACAAUGGAUUGGAAAAUAUAGGCGACCAAGAGUGGUAACCCUUUCAAUGAAGCAGGCAAUGAUCCGAAGGCUGGAAAUUGAAGCAGAGAAUGAAUAUUGGCUGAGUCGAUCUUACCUGACACAGGAACAGGAAUACAAUCAUAAUGCAGAAGGGAGACGUGCAAAAUGGGAAGCUUUCAGAAGCCUGCUAACAUCCAAGUUUCCUGAGCACA
This is an RNA transcript of Dromaius novaehollandiae (emu), 358 nucleotides long. RefSeq lists it as uncharacterized. Lineage: Eukaryota; Metazoa; Chordata; Aves; Casuariiformes; Dromaiidae. The record is from RefSeq and is a predicted model, not a curated record. The transcript is spliced from 2 exons.